GACGAACGCUGGCGGCGUGCCUAACACAUGCAAGUCGAACGGAGUGGCGAACGGGUGAGUAACACGUGGGUGAUCUGCCUUGCACUUCGGGAUAAGCUUGGGAAACUGGGUCUAAUACCGGAUAGUGCAAGAUGCGCUCGCGGCCAAUCAGCUUGUUGGUGGGGUAAUGGCCUACCAAGGCGUCGACGGGUAGCCGGCCUGAGAGGGUGUACGGCCACAUUGGGUCUGAUCUACUGACCAGUCCCUUACGGGAGGCAGCAGUUGGGAAUAUUGCACAAUGGGCGGAAGCCUGAUGCAGCGACGCCGCGUGGGGGAUGAAGGCCUUCGGGUUGUAAACUCCUUUCGAUAGGGACGCGGUACCUGUAUAAGAAGCACCGGCUAACUACGUGCCAGCAGCCGCGGUAAUUC
This 408-nucleotide ribosomal RNA is filed under the name uncultured bacterium. RNAcentral's name for it is "partial 16S ribosomal RNA". It matches the Rfam family "Bacterial small subunit ribosomal RNA", at positions 28 to 526 of the family's 1533-position model. The record is from RNAcentral.